AGCAGCCGCGGUAAUUCCAGCUCCAAUAGCGUAUAUUAAAGUUGUUGCAGUUAAAAGGCUCGUAGUUGAAUUUCGGGAUUAGUGCGCUGGUCAUGCCUUUGGUAUGUACUGGUGUUACUGAUUUCUACCUUCUGAAGAACCGUUAUGUCAUUUAUUUGGUGUGGCGGGGAAUCAGGACUGUUACUUUGAAAAAAUUAGAGUGUUUAAAGCAGGCUCGCGCUUGAAUACAUUAGCAUGGAAUAAUGAAAUAGGACGUUUGACCCUAUUUUGUUGGUUUCUAGGAUCGACGUAAUGAUUAAUAGGGAUAGUUGGGGGCAUUAGUAUUCAAUUGUCAGAGGUGAAAUUCUUGGAUUUAUUGAAGACUAACUACUGCGAAAGCAUUUGCCAAGGAUGUUUUCAUUAAUCAAGAACGAAAGUUAGGGGAUCGAAGACGAUCAGAUACCGUCGUAGUCUUAACCAUAAACUAUGCCGACUAGGGAUCGGAUGAUGUUAAUUUUUAAUGACUCAUUCGGCGCCUUAC
This 520-nucleotide ribosomal RNA is filed under the name uncultured Glomeromycotina. RNAcentral's name for it is "SSU rRNA". It matches the Rfam family "Eukaryotic small subunit ribosomal RNA", at positions 569 to 1091 of the family's 1831-position model. Lineage: Eukaryota; Fungi; Glomeromycota. The record is from RNAcentral.